Molecule: ribosomal RNA, 499 nt
Filed under: uncultured bacterium
Lineage: Bacteria
Description: partial 16S ribosomal RNA
Rfam family: Bacterial small subunit ribosomal RNA
Source: RNAcentral
GACGAACGCUGGCGGCGUGCCUAAUACAUGCAAGUCGAGCGGACUUUCAAGAAGCUUGCUUUUUGAAAGUUAGCGGCGGACGGGUGAGUAACACGUGGGCAACCUGCCUGCAAGACGGGGAUAACUCCGGGAAACCGGGGCUAAUACCGGAUAAUAUCUUCCUUCGCAUGAAGGAAGGUUGAAAGGCGGCGCAAGCUGCCGCUUGCAGAUGGGCCCGCGGCGCAUUAGCUAGUUGGUGAGGUAACGGCUCACCAAGGCGACGAUGCGUAGCCGACCUGAGAGGGUGAUCGGCCACACUGGGACUGAGACACGGCCCAGACUCCUGCGGGAGGCAGCAGUAGGGAAUCUUCCGCAAUGGACGAAAGUCUGACGGAGCAACGCCGCGUGAGCGAAGAAGGUCUUCGGAUCGUAAAGCUCUGUUGUCAGGGAAGAACAAGUACCGUUCGAACAGGGCGGUACCUUGACGGUACCUGACCAGAAAGCCACGGCUAACUACGUG